AUUGAACGCUGGCGGCAUGCCUUACACAUGCAAGUCGAACGGCAGCACGGGUGCUUGCACCUGGUGGCGAGUGGCGAACGGGUGAGUAAUACAUCGGAAUGUACCUUGUAGUGGGGGAUAGCUCGGCGAAAGCCGGAUUAAUACCGCAUACGCUCUGAGGAGGAAAGCGGGGGACCUUCGGGCCUCGUGCUACAAGAGCAGCCGAUGUCAGAUUAGCUUGUUGGUGAGGUAAAAGCUCACCAAGGCGACGAUCUGUAGCUGGUCUGAGAGGACGACCAGCCACACUGGGACUGAGACACGGCCCAGACUCCUACGGGAGGCAGCAGUGGGGAAUUUUGGACAAUGGGCGAAAGCCUGAUCCAGCAAUGCCG
RNAcentral lists this ribosomal RNA (371 nucleotides) under uncultured Pandoraea sp. RNAcentral describes it as "bacterial SSU rRNA". It matches the Rfam family "Bacterial small subunit ribosomal RNA", at positions 30 to 399 of the family's 1533-position model. The record is from RNAcentral. Lineage: Bacteria; Pseudomonadati; Pseudomonadota; Betaproteobacteria; Burkholderiales; Burkholderiaceae.